This 482-nucleotide ribosomal RNA is filed under the name uncultured bacterium. RNAcentral describes it as "partial 16S ribosomal RNA". It matches the Rfam family "Bacterial small subunit ribosomal RNA", at positions 30 to 507 of the family's 1533-position model. The record is from RNAcentral.
AUUGAACGCUGGCGGCAUGCCUUACACAUGCAAGUCGAACGGUAACGGGCCUUCGGGUGCCGACGAGUGGCGAACGGGUGAGUAAUACAUCGGAACGUGCCCGAUCGUGGGGGAUAACGAGGCGAAAGCUUUGCUAAUACCGCAUACGAUCUACGGAUGAAAGCAGGCGACCGCAAGGCCUUGCGCGGACGGAGCGGCCGAUGGCAGAUUAGGUAGUUGGUGGGAUAAAAGCUUACCAAGCCGACGAUCUGUAGCUGGUCUGAGAGGAUGAUCAGCCACACUGGGACUGAGACACGGCCCAGACUCCUACGGGAGGCAGCAGUGGGGAAUUUUGGACAAUGGGCGCAAGCCUGAUCCAGCCAUGCCGCGUGCAGGAUGAAGGCCUUCGGGUUGUAAACUGCUUUUGUACGGAACGAAAAGCCUUCUUUUAAUACAGGAGGGUCAUGACGGUACCGUAAGAAUAAGCACCGGCUAACUACGUG